CACCUGAAAGCUCUAGAAAACUAACCUUACUACGCC
RNAcentral lists this small RNA (36 nucleotides) under Bombyx mori (domestic silkworm). RNAcentral's name for it is "ovarian small RNA-12981". Lineage: Eukaryota; Metazoa; Arthropoda; Insecta; Lepidoptera; Bombycidae. The record is from RNAcentral.